AACGAACGCUGGCGGCGUGCCUAACACAUGCAAGUCGUGCGAGAAAGUUCCUUCGGGAGCGAGUAAAGCGGCGCACGGGUGAGUAACACGUAGGUAACCUGCCCCCCAGUCUGUAACAACUAGAGGAAACUCUAGCUAAUGCCGGAUGAGACCACGAUCCCCUUCGGGGGUUGCGGCCAAAGAUGGCCUCUACUUGUAAGCUAUCGCUGAGGGAUGGGCCUGCGGGCCAUUAGCUUGUUGGUGAGGUAACGGCUCACCAAGGCUGUGAUGGCUAGCUGGUCUGAGAGGAUGACCAGCCACACUGGGACUGAGACACGGCCCAGGACUCCUACGGGAGGCAGCAGUGGGAAUAUUGACGCAAUGGGCGAAGCCUGACGCAGCGACG
RNAcentral lists this ribosomal RNA (385 nucleotides) under uncultured bacterium. RNAcentral describes it as "bacterial SSU rRNA". It matches the Rfam family "Bacterial small subunit ribosomal RNA", at positions 29 to 396 of the family's 1533-position model. The record is from RNAcentral.